Non-coding RNA from Pocillopora verrucosa, 229 nucleotides. The record is from RefSeq and is a predicted model, not a curated record. NCBI's taxonomy places the organism in Eukaryota, Metazoa, Cnidaria, Anthozoa, Scleractinia, Pocilloporidae.
UUUGUUUCUCUUCGUAGAGAGGUCGAGAAGAAGACACUGCUUUCAGCGAGAAGACAGAACUCACGAUGAAGCUCGUUGCUGUUCUUUGCCUUGUUUUCUGUUUGGUUUGUAUCAUUGCAGGUGAAAAGAGUUCCAGCGAUGCGCCUUUACGAGAAUGCAACGAUAGGGAAAAGGCGUCGGAAGAUUGCCCAGCUGGGUUCGUAUGUAUGGCUGUUGUUGGGAAGAGGAG